CAGUGGCUUACCAGCAAACAUCAAUCUGAACGCUUCCAAUUUGUGAUGAUGUCAUCAUGAAAUAAGCAAUUAAAUGUUUAUUUAUCCUAGAUUAUCAGUCAUUUUUCAUUUGUAAAAUAAUCUGAGGUCAUUAUCCAUACAAAUCUAAGUGUAUAUAGUAUGUGUAUCUGCGGUCAUCACAAGAUAAUCCGCCAUCUUGUAGCAGAACUUCACUUGCGUUAGCAUCCCAUUGACUCCCAUUCAUUUUGGCGUCACUUUGACAGCGAAUAACUUUACAGCUGAGGCGUUUAAAGACUCCAUUUGUCCAUUAUUUAUUUCUAAAGAUACACGACAAUGUAUAAAGGGCUCCAUUACCUUCUAUGUUACAUUAUGGCCCCGUAACCACUCGACUCUCUGUCGCACAGUAGAGAAAUUACCGUACAGACAGGAGGAGAAGCUCGCAGGCAAUCGGGGAGACGUCAAGAGAUAUGGCGUACUGGCGUUACAUUUUAAAAUACUAUACAAAAUAAUUAAUCAGAAUACUUACUCCUGCUCACUCGGGCCAAAGAACUCCCCGCUCAAGCUCGCCGUCUCUGCAAGAUUAACGAUGGCAGUUUGCACGCACAGCUACUAGAAGAUUUACAUCUGUCAGACAGGUUGCUGACGUCAUCAAGCUUAGUUUGAGUCUGCGCGUCAGAAACGGAAGUUCUAAAAAUCGCUAAAAAGGGGCUUCACUUGUCUCAAUUGAGUUCCAAUGGGGUCGCUGUGUCCAUUUCUUUUACUGUCUAUGGGGACAGCCCAGUCACCUUUAUCUGGAUGACGUGCGUUGCUCAAGGAAGUUGAGGUGGCUGUCGGAAGUUAAGCCAGUGAGUGUACCUCGCGGAGCUCCGCUCGAAGUCUCCCGCGAUUUAUUGUUUUAUCCGUGGCAAAAGUGUGGAUUGUCUGCGUUCUAAUCAAUCGCGCUCUGGAUCAUUCAAAGGAAAACAUGUUAUCCUCGCCAUUGUGUUAAUAGCGGAUGGUCGUUUAGACGCUGCAGGGCUAACAGUACGAGUGAGCAGUUCUAAAACCUGGGCGGAAUUAACGGAUUGGGAGCCUACAGCCUGUACACUCACGUCUGGGAAGUUCCAGCAAAACGUGGACCAGACUAGUAAAAGUAAACGGAGUUGUGAGUACACUACUAGGCCAGUUCUGAUGACUGUUUUUCAAGUGACUUGACUUUUGACUUUUUGACUGUUUUUUCAUCGGGGAAAUGUAUUUAUAUGGGUUUUCCCUUAUUGACUAUGGGAACUAUACAGUAUGUAUUAAAUUGUUGGAAUUACUGCUGAUCUUGUGACUUGGAAUAAUUUUGUUUCUUUUUUAUGGCUUUGUGGCGGGUCAAUUUGUGAACUAUUUUUUGUUUUUCUUUUUCAUACUCAAAUCAAAAAGUCAUUUUUGAGACAUUUGAACUGUGUUGAUAUUUGCUAAUAUAUAUAUAUUUGAAUGAAUUCUAGUUAUUUGUCAUAUUGACUGUAGUAGUGGUCUAUUUAAGAGAGUUGUUUUUGGGUAUUAUUGCAUUGCAAUUCUUUUCUCAUAUAAGUGAGGGGUUUUGUGACAGACAAACCAGACUGCACAAGACCUUUGAACGUUUUCGUAAA
Cyprinus carpio (common carp) is the source of this 1613-nucleotide long non-coding RNA. NCBI's taxonomy places the organism in Eukaryota, Metazoa, Chordata, Actinopteri, Cypriniformes, Cyprinidae. The record is from Ensembl.